This 72-nucleotide transfer RNA is filed under the name Marmota monax (woodchuck). It matches the Rfam family "tRNA". Rfam says of the family: Transfer RNA (tRNA) molecules are approximately 80 nucleotides in length. Their secondary structure includes four short double-helical elements and three loops (D, anti-codon, and T loops). Further hydrogen bonds mediate the characteristic L-shaped molecular structure. tRNAs have two regions of fundamental functional importance: the anti-codon, which is responsible for specific mRNA codon recognition, and the 3' end, to which the tRNAs corresponding amino acid is attached (by aminoacyl-tRNA synthetases). tRNAs cope with the degeneracy of the genetic code in two manners: having more than one tRNA (with a specific anti-codon) for a particular amino acid; and 'wobble' base-pairing, i.e. permitting non-standard base-pairing at the 3rd anti-codon position. The record is from Rfam by way of RNAcentral. Lineage: Eukaryota; Metazoa; Chordata; Mammalia; Rodentia; Sciuridae.
UAGGGUGUAGCUUAGUGGUAGAGUACUUGCCUAGCAUGCAUGAAGUCCUGGGUUUGAUCCGCAACACUGUUA